This is a long non-coding RNA of Poeciliopsis prolifica (blackstripe livebearer), 6171 nucleotides long. RefSeq lists it as uncharacterized. NCBI's taxonomy places the organism in Eukaryota, Metazoa, Chordata, Actinopteri, Cyprinodontiformes, Poeciliidae. The record is from RefSeq and is a predicted model, not a curated record. The transcript has 5 exons.
UGUGUGUGUGUUUGUGUGUGUGUGUCUCUGUGUGUGUGUCUCUGUGUGUGUGUUUUGUGUCUGUGUGUGUUUGUGUGUGUGUCUCUGUGUGUGUGUGUCUGUGUGUGUGUGUCUCUGUGUGUGUGUCUCUGUGUGUGUGUGUCUGUGUGUGUGUGUGUGUUUGUGUGUGUUUGUGUGUGUGUGUGUUUGUGUGUGUGUGUGUGUGUGUGUCUCUGUGUGUGUGUGUGUGUGUGUGUGUGUGUUCUGACCUGGUUGAACUCUGGGUUCAGGGUUUUCUUCAUCACGGCGGUUUUGUGUUUGGAUUUCUUCAGGAUGUCGGGCUUCAGGUAUCUGACGAAGAAAAUCGUCUUUUAUUUUGAAAGGAUGAAGGUUUUUGUUGUUAACCAAACGAACGGCGUGACCAGAGGUUCACAUCAACAGUCCUAAGGAGUUUGGGGACCACAGACCCAGUUCUGGUUCCGGUCCAGCUGACAUUUAUAUGCUGGACCCUGCUUCAGAACCAGAAGCUGGGUUCUCCGCUCGUCUCCUGGGCUCAGUCGGGUCGGGUUGCAGCGCUGAGCAGGAGAUUCUGCAGGGAAACGGGUCGGUUCUGAUUUUCAUCUAGAACCGCACAUCUGAAAAAAACAGACAGAAAACUACCAGAACCAGAACCGGGUCUGUCUGUCCUGAGCAGCCUCCAUCAUUUUAGGGGGCGCUGCUCGUAAAGGAACACUGUCAAAUAUUAUCUUUGGAUCUUUGUCAUUUAUAAAGGUAGGAAUAACUUUUAAAACUUUAAAAUGAACCACGUUUAUUCUGUCAGGCUGAAUAAACCAAAUGAAUUUGUUUCAUUUUUUACAGUGUUCCUACGGCGCCCAGAUGACCUCUGCCCUUUGCCUCCACCGGGGAAACCCCGCCCACUCACAGUUUGACAUAAGGGUCAGAGAAUCCAUUGACGUCCAUGGCCGCCAGGUGAGUGCAGCGCCUCACGCCGACACAGAGGGCGCCACUGAGCGGGCCUUCACCUCCAUCAGCGCCAUCAGGACGGACGGAGGGCAGGAACUGCAGGGACAGCAGCAGCCGGCCUCGCUCCUCCAGGCUGUGCAGCUGCUCGUUCUCCCACUGCAGACAGCACCAGUGAAACCAGUUCAUUUAAACCAGUUCAUCUAAACCAGAUCCAGUUAAAAAGAGCCCAGUCUAACUGGGAGCACUGGGAGAUUUCUCUCUGCUCCGGUUUGAAACUCUAGGACUGAAAAUGAGUCCAACCAGUUAAACCACACAGAAGGUCAACUGAAGGUCAACCGGGGAGCGUCUUCUUCACUGCUGUCCUCGAUUGAAGCUCGUCUCUGCUUCGAUCCGAUCAGAUCAGCAAUCGAUUCGCCGUAUUCGUCCGUCCUGACGUGCGGCAGCCUCGGGUCGGAUCCGUCCUGCAGCUUCAGCAGAAGCUCUUUGUGUCUGAAGGAAGUUCAGUUCAGCAACUUCAGGUAGACGGCUCUGAUUUCCCAUCAGAGUGAGACGUCUGUGUUCAGAGUGGAUCUCUGAGUCUCAGAGCAUCCAGAUCUAUAUUUCAGCUCAAACUUCUGAGAAUCAGCAGGAAACUGCAGAAGCUUCUGCUGCACAGGCUGAACUGAAAGGUGCGUCAGCAGGUAAAGCUGCUGUUUGUCUCCAUGCUGAGGUCAAAUUGGCUGAAAAUGCGUCCAGUGAAACCGGCUCUGCUGCUUCGCCUUUGUCCAAGCACCUGGACCGUUCCUGAGGGAAACUAUGGAGGCUGGACAGAAUCCCAGAAACAGGAAGUUGUGACGCUGCUGGAAAGAAGACAGACGGCGUCUGAGAGGAAGAACAUCCCGAUGCGUUGAUGGCAUUUUAAUCACGUCUCACUCUCUGCUAUGCUGCCAAUGUUUCAACAGUAUGCGUUUCAACCAGUAAGGAACCAGUAAGGGACCAGUAAGGGACCAGUAAGGGACCUCCACCUUCACCUGGAGAUGGAGCAACGCCGGGAAUCAGCCACAUCUAACGAGCCGAAGAGCGAAAACCCGGCAAACGACACCUGAAGGAGCCGAGGGACGGAGACGGCGGGGGGUCCAACAGCGAUGGACUGAGCCACUGGUUGAACUGGUUGAAUGGGUUAAACGGUCCUAGUUAACUGGGAGUGAGGCUUUCAGCAGAGACGGAGCCAGGUUCCUUCAGCGGGUUAAAUGGCAUCAGAACCGAUUCUGAUACCGACCCUCUUCUAAACUGGGUCAGAACUUCAGUUCUGGUAGGUCCGGUUCGGGACCCGGCAGAGGUCCAUGUCUACCAGUGGGGACAGGAAGCUGACACCAGCUGCUCUUCACACCUGCCCAGGCGCUGCUGCUUCCUGUCUCACCUGAUGACCUCUCACAGCUGUGAGGGCAGCGAGGCCUGGAGGCAUCGAGCUGGCCCGGUUCUGACCCACUAUGCGCACCUUUCUGGUUUCCUGGGAGAGAACGGACCAGAACUCGGCUUCAUUCCUGAAGCUCUAAGCUGAAACUUUCAGGUUCUGGUGAGUUUGGUUCCGUCUGUCCUUUAAUGGGCCGCUCUGUGUCUGAACGGCUCUGGAUGGAAGCCUGAGUGAAACCACCAAUCAGAGGUAGGAGGCGGGUCUUAAUGCUGUCAAUCACCUUGCUCAAUUAAGAGCGACUGUUGUGAACGCUAAGGCUUGUUAGCAUAGCCACCGAUAACGGCAGAAAAACAGUUUUCCUGGUGAGUUUUUGUCUGCCAUUGGUGCGUUUAUCAUGAGUUGAUUGACAGCAUUAAGCCCCUCCCCCUGCCUCUGAUUGACCGUUUUUGGUCGGGAGCGUUUCAUUUCUUCAAUCAGCACUAGCCAAUCGGGGAGCAGGAGGAGAUUGAUCAGAUUAUCAGGUUCAUAACAAACAGCGCUAAUCCCUGCUAACUCUGUCCUCAGGUCCCAUUCGGACCCACAGAACCAAAGCCAGCUGUCCCUCCAGCCAGCAGGGGGCGCUGCAGCAGCAGAGUUACAGUUAAUAAAUGAAUCUUUUCUCAUUUGUCCUGGGAAAAUGACUUCCAGGAUGAUCAGGAAUUAAAUCAUUGAUUGAUUCAUAUUUUCCAGCAGAUUUUCCAUUUUAAUCAAGAGAAUCAAAUCAGAAUCAGGAUAAAUUGUGAUGAUUAAGAUACUAAUUAUGAUCCUUGAAAAUUAAAAUAGUUUAAUUUAUAAAAGCUUGAAGCGCUCAGGGAAGGUCAGAGGUCACAGCUGGUUGGUUUGUCUGAUAGAAGGAAGUUCAGGAACCCAGAGAUCAGAGAACUGCUUUCUCCUGAACUUUUACUGUUCACGAAGGCAUCGCUCUAUUCGGGAUCAAUUGCUUUUAGCCGAUAAUCUGUAGAAAUGUCUCUUUCUGGUUCCGUCAUCAUAGUUUUGUUCAGGAGCCAAGCGUCUGAUGGUUCCUCACCUUGGCCCGCAGCACGGUGCAGCGCAGCUCGCUGCAGCUCACGUCGUAGCGCAGCUCGAACUCCAGCGUUCCCAGAGCGGCUGAGGAGACAGAGAGGAAGAGGAGGAUGAGGAAGAUAACAGCAACAUCUGCAACCAGGCAACCCAGAAACCUCCAGCGGCAACGUGAAGUUCUGGGAUUCACAGUUCAGGAACGCUUCAGGUCCUAAACAAAAUUUUCCUCAUGCGUCUCCAGCAUCUUUCUGUUCGGUCAGCGUGAGACGAAACGAUGCACCAACAUUUAAAGCUUCGCUUUGAACCCAGGCUUUUAGAAAAUGGCUUCGGCUUUGAUGUUUCUGGAACGGCGGAGCCGAUCUGCCCACAGAUUCUCCGUCUCAUUCAACACGCUCCUGGAAGGAAGAGGAUUUACUGCAAACUUCCUGCCUGCGUCUCCUUGGGAUUCAAAUCCUCCUCCCACAUCAUCAUUCAGUCCAACCAGCCGCUGCACAGCAACACGGCCUGCUGGAAGCUGAUCCACCGAGGAGGACGGCAGGAUCCGUCCCUCACAUUUAUGGAAAGAUGAGCAGAAAAUACAGCUAUUCAUAUUUAACAUGAAGGGAAAAGCUUCAAAAAACAAAUCCAGUUCAGACUCCAGGAAGGCUUUAACGUUUCCUAAUUCUGUCCCUGCAAGCAGGAAGUCCGGAUGUCCCUGAACACACCACCACUUCCAGCCUGAGAAUCCAGAAGUGUUUUCUCUUUAGUUUCAGGAACAGAUGCAAAGCGCAGAUCUGAUCUUCAUAAGCUGCUGGAAUUAAAUAAAUACAUGAGAGUCUGACGUUUUAACAAAAAAAGGUCAAAUGUCAGACAGGAACAUCCAAUCAGAUGACAUAAUCACCUGAUUCUACUGUGCUGCCUCUGGACCCUCAGUCAGGCACCCUAACCCAGGCCACGCCUUCCUGGAGGCCACGCCUUCCUGGAGGCCACGCCUUCCUGGAGGCCACGCCUUCCUGGAGGCCACGCCUUCCUGGAGGCGUGGCCUGAAUCUAAAUUUGCCCAUCAAUACGUAACGAUAGCCAGGCUAGCGCUGAACACUAACUAUGAAAAAGUUGCCAUGUUAAUCCAGACUGAGUCUCUGAUCAACUGUUAACAGCGGAGCUGCUAGGCUAGCACUGCUUUAGCCAUGCAGGUUGUUCUUCCUGAAUGUGUCUUGGUGCAUGUUGCUGGUAAAUCAGAGGCUUUGAUGAUUAAAUUGUGAGAAGGUCUCAGCUGUUGCCCGUCUAGGCCUGUAGGUGGCGCUUUGCAGCUUCCAGGCAGAUUUUAUGUUUUAGUUCUGGUUCCUGCAGAGCGCCAACCAGAACCAGAACACAAACGUUUUAAAGAAACUUUGAGGCUCAUCCUGGUGCUGGAGCGUUUUCAUUUUCUGGAUAGAGGAAAUAUUACAGCAGUUAUCCAACGCAGUGGAGGAGCGGCUUCUCCUCACAUGCAGGUUUCCUGUUCAGAACCUUCACUUAACACAUUCAGGAAUUUACCUAGAAUCCUGUUUUCAUUGAAUGCAUCAGCUCAGUUUUAUGUAAACCGAUCAUCGUUUUCCCUUUGAAGCAGAUGAAGUUACAUAAAGCCAGCAGCUCUUCUGUUCCCAUGCAGCACUGACACAAAUCUACUGUAAAUUUAAUGUAUCUCAGCAGAGGCUCCUGCAGUGCAACAGUGAGAAAAGUCCUGCAGAUCUUCCUGCAUGUGUCACUUUCUAAAGCUGAACAGAAAAAAGCAACAAUGUUCAGAGAAGUUCAAUCCAAAGCUGCAGAGCAGAGAGGAGCUGCUUACCUUUAGUAGAGGGAGAGGAGAGAGAGAGGAGGAGAUUCCUGCACAAACAAGACCGAGGCUCUGCACUAACAGGUGGAGAGACGGGCAGCGAGGAAGAGGAGGUGGGGGAGGAGGAAGAGGAAGAGGAGGAGGAAAAAGAGGAGGAAGAGGAGGAGGAAGAGGAGGAGGAGGAAGAGGAGGAGGACUCCCUGAGUGAUCCACUCCUCCUGUCUUCGUCUCGCUGCUCCAGAUUCUGAUAUUUCUAAUAUUUCGUUGCUCAGCUUCACGUUCAUCUGCAAUGUCCACAGCGAUGAAGCUCUUCCUUUAAUCACAUGUAUUACCUCCCUCCCCCCCUCCUGCAGUGGGGGGGCAGCAGAGUACAAUAAUGUGCCAACAGCAGCAUCUGUCUUUCUGCUCCUCUGUAUAAUUUGAGCUUAAUGAUGCCUAAUGAUACAUGUGUGAUCCAACACACCAUCACACAGGAAGGGUGAGGAAGACGUGCCCUCCUCUUCCUCAGCGGUGUCCCUGGGUGAAGGAUCUUCCUCCUGCUCCUCCUCCUCUCCAUCCGCCCCUCAGCAGCAGCUCGGCCUGCAGGGCGACUCCUCAUCAGAUGGAAGAGUUUCCUGUUGCUUUGCUAGCUGCUUUCCAACUGACUCCUGUUUCUUUAGGGGUGUCAGAGUAGAAGCAGCUAUGUGAGCAGGCAUGUUCUCUCCUAGUAAUUUAGCUCAUUUUUCCUUUAGCUCCUUCUGCUAACUUUGAAAACAUUCAACUAAUUUAGCUUCCUCUAAGUUAAUUUUUACAAAUAAAUUCUAGAGUUCGCUUUUGAGGCUGUUCUAACACACUUUUCUUCUUCGUGAUCUUUAUUAGCGCUUGGCAAGACGUUAGUGCCCAUUACCGCCACCUGGUGGAGGCUUCAGACAGUAAAACAUGUUUUGUUCUGUUCCAAAUAUUCUGUUGAGAAGAAAAUUAUUGUGUAGAUUAAAUAAACAAGA